Molecule: transfer RNA, 62 nt
Filed under: Elateroidea sp. 5 KM-2017
Lineage: Eukaryota; Metazoa; Arthropoda; Insecta; Coleoptera
Description: tRNA-Arg
Source: RNAcentral
AGUAAAAAGCUAUUUUAGCAUCUAGUUUCGACCUAGAACAUUGAUAAUUUAAAUCUUUACUU